UAAUUUUGUUUAGAUGUGUUAUAAAUUAUACCACAAUAAAUUAUGAUAUAAAAAAGUAAGGUAGGAUAUGAGGACAAUGAUUAAAGAAUAAAUUUACUUAUGGAAAUUUAGAUGUUUGUUGAUUGGUUUCAAAAUGUUAUGUUUGUGACAAAAAAGUAAAGAUACUAUUACAUUAAGUGUCUAUUGCACUUAAUGUGUACAUUAUUGUAAAGAAAUGCUUGAAGAUAGUAGUUUUUCUUAAUAUGGUAAAAACCUUAACAUUGAGCGAGCCAAGGUGAUUUACUUUAUUAAUUGAAUCGACAAAAGGCGUGUAAAUCACAAAAGAACAAAUGAUAUUUUUCACAUUUAUUUUUACUGUAUUUAUUAAUAGCUAUUAUUUAAAUAUAAAUUCAUUUU
Long non-coding RNA from Hydra vulgaris (swiftwater hydra), 396 nucleotides. RefSeq lists it as uncharacterized. The record is from RefSeq and is a predicted model, not a curated record. Lineage: Eukaryota; Metazoa; Cnidaria; Hydrozoa; Anthoathecata; Hydridae.